CCAGUUUACUGCUAUAUACACUCAAAAAAAUUUACUAGCCACUUGCUUGAUUUGGAAAACACAAAUAUGUAUGAUUAAUAAGAAUAUAAUGAGUUCUUCUGUUAAAUGGUUAAUUCUUGUUAUUCAUAACUAAAUUCAGAAAAAAAUGGAUUAGCAGCAGUUUUGCAUCAAUUUGACCUAGGACACUUCAUAUCGACAACUCUCUCUGCUGAGACACUGCGCUCGCUCAGCUCCGUGGCAGAAAGUUCGGAAUCAUUUGGGUUCAGGCGACCGGAAGUGAAUUUUUGUGAGCGGUUUGAACUGCUGCGUCUAAUAGUUCUGUAUCCUUGAUAAUGAGGAUAUGUUCCUUGUUUGUACAAAAAGAAAACAUUACAACAUAAAGCUGUCCUCAUUCUCUUCUGGUGUGAACCUCACCUUUAUUUACAUGUGAGGUGUAAAGUAUGUGGCUGUGCAGGCAGUGUGUUGCAAAGGAGAGCUGCAGGUAAAAAAAACUUGACCAUUAUAAACUACACCAUUGUUUUGGAAGUGGCAAUCAUUAUGUUUGUGAAUAUUUAAAUUGUCUUAAGGGCAGGACUUAAUCCCCCACGUAUGGAAUUCACCCGUUAUAUUCUACAGAGACAGCAACAUGUUCAUGUACUUUUCAGUGUGAGUUAUGUGUGCAUUCUGAUCUUUCCACUGAAGGAUUUCUUCACUUUUUAAUGCAUUUGAAAAAUAAUGAAAUCAUAAGUUGCACAUUUUUAAUAACGCAUUGCUCUUUCAAGACAAACAUUUUAAGUACAUUUUAUUCACACAAUAACUAACGCAUAAAUUACCACCACAAAAAGAUUUUAAAGCAGGUUAAACUUUGUUUGCAGACCCAGUACAUAGCUCUGAAGAUGCAAGUGCUGGUUGGUCUACUAAUGUUCUACUGAAGUUAGUACUUAGUGUUUAAAAGUGAUGAUCUUGCUGUUGUCAAUUUGCCCAAAUUAAUUGAGCAGAAAAUAGCUGUAAUAUUGUUGAAAUCGGUACAUAUAUAUCAUAUUCCUGCCAGAGUGUUAGACGAAUUGCUGCAUUUUUUUAAUUAAGCUCUGCUUGUGCGCCACUCACAAAGCGUCCUCUUACAGACAAAAGCCAUAUCCUUCAGAUCACUCAAGCUGUUACCAAAGAAUUUGCCACCUGUGUUGCUAACCCUGUGGCUCAAAUUAUGGCGAAGUAUGGACCGCUUGUUUCCUCUUUCUCCUGUAUUGGAUUGAAAUUUACUUUACAUGUGUACCAAAUAAAGU
Molecule: long non-coding RNA, 1262 nt
Organism: Clarias gariepinus (North African catfish)
Lineage: Eukaryota; Metazoa; Chordata; Actinopteri; Siluriformes; Clariidae
Exons: 3
Source: RefSeq, a predicted model, not a curated record